UCCGGACACAGACCAGUAGUGGUCCAUGGC
RNAcentral lists this non-coding RNA (30 nucleotides) under Homo sapiens (human). Lineage: Eukaryota; Metazoa; Chordata; Mammalia; Primates; Hominidae. The record is from RNAcentral.